RNAcentral lists this transfer RNA (63 nucleotides) under Diadromus collaris. RNAcentral's name for it is "tRNA-Thr". The record is from RNAcentral. Lineage: Eukaryota; Metazoa; Arthropoda; Insecta; Hymenoptera; Ichneumonidae.
ACUAUAAUAGUUUAAAUUAAAACAUUAAUCUUGUAAAUUAAAAUUAAAUAAAUUUUUAUAGUU